GUGUACAACUCACCUGCCGAAGCAACUAGCCCUGAAAAUGGAUGGCGCUGAAGCGUUUUGCCUAUACCCGGCCGCCGGCGGCAAAGGGCGCGCGCCUUCGGGUGCGCGUCGCCAAGCCCCGGUGAGUAGGAGGGUCGCGACGGUGUGCGCAGAAGGGUCUGGGCGUGAGCCUGCCUGGAGCCGCCGUCGGUGCAGAUCUUGGUGGUAGUAGCAUUACGGAACCUGGUUGCGGAGCCGCAAACACGAUCCUCGUAUUGACGCGGUAACGCGAAAGACCCCAGAGAUGCCGUCUGGAGCCCCGGGAAGAGUUUUCUUUUCUGCCUGAGCGUUCGGGCUCCGUGGAAUCCUCUCGCAGGGAGAUACGGAGUGGAACGCGAAGAGCACCGCAGUUGCUGCGGUGUCCGGGGAGUCCCGUCGGCCCUUGAAAAUCUGGGUGAGGGUCACGUGGAGGAGUCGCACCAGCUCGUACCCAUAUCCGCAGCAGU
This 485-nucleotide ribosomal RNA is filed under the name Drunella trispina. RNAcentral describes it as "eukaryotic LSU rRNA". It matches the Rfam family "Eukaryotic large subunit ribosomal RNA", at positions 1280 to 1863 of the family's 3401-position model. Lineage: Eukaryota; Metazoa; Arthropoda; Insecta; Ephemeroptera; Ephemerellidae. The record is from RNAcentral.